AAAUCCCGAAGUAGAAAGAGCUAAUUUAUUUUAAAUCAACGUGGUAAAGUUGUUACUAAGACUAAUUAGAGGUGAUAUGCUAUCCAAUUUCUGUAUAUCUGGUUUUGCCUAACCUAGUAUAAUUUGAUAGUAAACUAAAAGGUUUAUAAAAGUAUAUCGAAGGGGGAAGUUCUUCGAGGGUUUUUAUGUAUAUGUUUUAAUGUUAAUUUAAUAAUUAGCGCUGAAUAGGAUAAGAUUUUAUCUAAAUUAACUUGUUGGCAAUUUUUUAAACUUUUUAAAUAAAGCAAUAAUAAAUAUAUUAGUAGUAAAAUAUCUUUUUAAUAAUUAAACUUUAUAUAGUUUAUAUUUUUACAAGGGGGUAAAAGAACUCGGCAAAACUAGUUUCGCAUGUUUAACAAAAACAUCUUUUGAAAAUAUUUCAAGUAAUCUCUGCCCUAUGAAUAGUUUAAAUGGCCGCAGUAUUUUGACUGUGCAAAGGUAGCAUAAUCAUUUGCUUCUUAAUUAGGAGCUGGAAUGAAAGAGGUGACGAAAUCUAGACUUUUUUAGUACUUGACUAAUUUGACAUGGAGGUCAAAAGGCCUAAAUAUAUCAAAGGGACGAUAAGACCCUAUAAAACUUUACUUUUUGUUUUAGACGCGCUGGGCAGCUUACUAAAGGAUAAAGUUUUACUGGGGCGGUAUUAAUAAAAACAAUUAAAUAUGGAAUAUAAUAAAUAAAAAUAAAGAACUCUGGUGAGAAAUAGAACAAGUUACUUUAGGGAUAACAGCGUAAUUUUCUCAGAGAGUCCUAAUUGGCGAGAGAGUUUACGACCUCGAUGUUGAAUUGGGAUACCUUGUGUAAGCAAAAAUACACUAAGAUAGUCUGUUCGACUAUUAAAUUCCCACAUGAUUUGAGUUCAGACCGGCGUGAGCCAGGUUGGUUUCUAUCUUUUGGUUAUAUUAGAUCAAAAUUGUACGAAAGGACCUUUUGAU
RNAcentral lists this ribosomal RNA (971 nucleotides) under Proasellus coiffaiti. Its description in RNAcentral is "16S ribosomal RNA". The stretch from base 565 to 971 matches the Rfam family "Bacterial large subunit ribosomal RNA", at positions 2048 to 2700 of the family's 2925-position model. The record is from RNAcentral. Lineage: Eukaryota; Metazoa; Arthropoda; Malacostraca; Isopoda; Asellidae.